This is a long non-coding RNA of Hipposideros armiger (great roundleaf bat), 182 nucleotides long. RefSeq lists it as uncharacterized. Lineage: Eukaryota; Metazoa; Chordata; Mammalia; Chiroptera; Hipposideridae. The record is from RefSeq and is a predicted model, not a curated record. The transcript has 3 exons.
CGCAAACACAUAGCUUCUCCAUGUCUCUUCUUGGGCUUCUCACAGCAAGGUGACUGGGUUUGAACAACUGGUGAGGAGGAAAAAAUAACCCAUUGCUUAUUAACACUGAUCCAAGAUAGAGAAAGUGAGAAUGAUGGGGUCUGUUCUGGGAGAAGCCAAUUGAAGACAGCAUGAUAUCUGGG